RNAcentral lists this ribosomal RNA (519 nucleotides) under uncultured Chloroflexota bacterium. RNAcentral's name for it is "bacterial SSU rRNA". It matches the Rfam family "Bacterial small subunit ribosomal RNA", at positions 362 to 896 of the family's 1533-position model. The record is from RNAcentral. Lineage: Bacteria; Bacillati; Chloroflexota.
UAUUGCACAAUGGGCGAAAGCCUGAUGCAGCAACGCCGCGUGCACGAUGAAGGCCUUCGGGUCGUAAAGUGCUUUUCGGGGAGAUGAGUAAGGACAGUAUCCCCGGAAUAAGGAUCGGCUAACUACGUGCCAGCAGCCGCGGUAAAACGUAGGAUCCGAGCGUUAUCCGAAUUUACUGGGCGUAAAGCGCGUGUAGGCGGUUCGGUAAGUUGGAUGUGAAAUCUCCUGGCUCAACUGGGAGAGGUCGUUCAAUACUGUCGGACUAGAGGGUGGUAGAGGGAGGUGGAAUUCCCGGUGUAGUGGUGAAAUGCGUAGAUAUCGGGAGGAACACCAGUGGCGAAAGCGGCCUCCUAGACCGCUCCUGACGCUCAGACGCGAAAGCUAGGGGAGCGAACGGGAUUAGAAACCCCGGUAGUCCUAGCUGUAAACGAUGUGAACUUGGCGUUGGUGGGGUAAAAGCCAUCAGUGCCGAAGCUAACGCGAUAAGUUCACCGCCUGGGGACUACGGCCGCAAGGUUA